AUUGAACGCUGGCGGCAGGCCUAACACAUGCAAGUCGAGCGGAUGAAGGGAGCUUGCUCCUGGAUUCAGCGGCGGACGGGUGAGUAAUGCCUAGGAAUCUGCCUGGUAGUGGGGGAUAACGUCCGGAAACGGGCGCUAAUACCGCAUACGUCCUGAGGGAGAAAGUGGGGGAUCUUCGGACCUCACGCUAUCAGAUGAGCCUAGGUCGGAUUAGCUAGUUGGUGGGGUAAAGGCCUACCAAGGCGACGAUCCGUAACUGGUCUGAGAGGAUGAUCAGUCACACUGGAACUGAGACACGGGCCAGACUCCUACGGGAGGCAGCAGUGGUGAAUAUUGGACAAUGGGCGAAAGCCUGAUCCAGCCAUGCCGCGUGUGUGAAGAAGGUCUUCGGAUUGUAAAGCACUUUAAGUUGGGAGGAAGGGCAGUAAGUUAAUACCUGGCUGUUUUGACGUUACCAACAGAAUAAGCACCGGCUAACUUCGU
RNAcentral lists this ribosomal RNA (483 nucleotides) under uncultured bacterium. RNAcentral describes it as "partial 16S ribosomal RNA". It matches the Rfam family "Bacterial small subunit ribosomal RNA", at positions 30 to 506 of the family's 1533-position model. The record is from RNAcentral.